This 468-nucleotide ribosomal RNA is filed under the name uncultured bacterium. Its description in RNAcentral is "bacterial SSU rRNA". It matches the Rfam family "Bacterial small subunit ribosomal RNA", at positions 33 to 507 of the family's 1533-position model. The record is from RNAcentral.
GACGACGCUGGCGGCGUGCUUAACACAUGCAAGUCGAACGAGGUCCACCGCGUAGCAAUACAAGGGAAGACCUAGUGGCGAACGGGUGCGUAACACGUGAGGAACUUGUCCCGGUCUCUGGGAUAACAGUUGGAAACGGCUGCUAAUACCGGAUGACGUCGGAAUCUCGCAUGGGAUACUGACGAAAGGGUUACUGGAUCGGGAGAGCCUCGCGGCCUAUCAGCUUGUUGGUGAGGUAACGGCUCACCAAGGCAUCGACGGGUAGCUGGUCUGAGAGGAUGAUCAGCCACACUGGGACUGAGACACGGCCCAGACUCCUACGGGAGGCAGCAGUGGGGAAUCUUGCGCAAUGGGCGAAAGCCUGACGCAGCAACGCCGCGUGCGGGAAGAAGGCCCUCGGGUUGUAAACCGCUUUCAGAAGGAACGAAAAUGACGGUACUUUCAGAAGAAGGUGCGGCCAACUACGUG